This 27-nucleotide small RNA is filed under the name Bombyx mori (domestic silkworm). RNAcentral's name for it is "ovarian small RNA-35989". Lineage: Eukaryota; Metazoa; Arthropoda; Insecta; Lepidoptera; Bombycidae. The record is from RNAcentral.
UGUUAAGACGGGAUUUCAUCCCCGGGA